GAUGAACGCUGGCGGCGUGCCUAAUACAUGCCAGUCGAGCGAACAGACGAGGAGCUUGCUCCUCUGACGUUAGCGGCGGACGGGUGAGUAACACGUGGAUAACCUACCUAUAAGACUGGGAUAACUUCGGGAAACCGGAGCUAAUACCGGAUAAUAUAUUGAACCGCAUGGUUCAAUAGUGAAAGACGGUUUUGCUGUCACUUAUAGAUGGAUCCGCGCCGCAUUAGCUAGUUGGUAAGGUAACGGCUUACCAAGGCAACGACGCGUAGCCGACCUGAGAGGGUGAUCGGCCACACUGGAACUGAGACACGGUCCAGACUCCUACGGGAGGCAGCAGUAGGGAAUCUUCCGCAAUGGGCGAAAGCCUGACGGAGCAACGCCGCGUGAGUGAUGAAGGUCUUCGGAUCGUAAAACUCUGUUAUUAGGGAAGAACAAAUGUGUAAGUAACUAUGCACGUCUUGACGGUACCUAAUCAGAAAGCCACGGCUAACUACGUG
RNAcentral lists this ribosomal RNA (497 nucleotides) under uncultured bacterium. RNAcentral's name for it is "partial 16S ribosomal RNA". It matches the Rfam family "Bacterial small subunit ribosomal RNA", at positions 28 to 507 of the family's 1533-position model. The record is from RNAcentral.